Molecule: ribosomal RNA, 500 nt
Filed under: uncultured bacterium
Lineage: Bacteria
Description: partial 16S ribosomal RNA
Rfam family: Bacterial small subunit ribosomal RNA
Source: RNAcentral
AUUGAACGCUGGCGGAAUGCUUUACACAUGCAAGUCGAACGGCAGCACGGACUUCGGUCUGGUGGCGAGUGGCGAACGGGUGAGUAAUGUAUCGGAACGUGCCCAGUCGUGGGGGAUAACGUAGUGAAAAUUACGCUAAUACCGCAUACGAUCUAUGGACGAAAGCGGGGGAUCGCAAGACCUCGCGCGAUUGGAGCGGCCGAUAUCAGAUUAGGUAGUUGGUGGGGUAAAGGCCCACCAAGCCAACGAUCUGUAGCUGGUCUGAGAGGACGACCAGCCACACUGGAACUGAGACACGGUCCAGACUCGUCCGGGAGGCAGCAGUGGGGAAUUUUGGACACUGGGCGAAAGCCUGAUCCAGCCAUUCCGCGUGCAGGAUGAAGGCCCUCGGGUUGUAAACUGCUUUUGUACAGAACGAAAAGGUUUCUACUAAUACUAGGAGCUCAUGACGGUACUGUAAGAAUAAGCACCGGCUAACUACGUGACAGCCGCCGCAGUAA